AUUGAACGCUGGCGGCAGGCCUAACACAUGCAAGUCGAGCGCCCCGCAAGGGGAGCGGCCGACGGGUGAGUAACGCGUGGGAACGUGCCCUUUGGUUCGGAACAAAUACGGGAAACUGGAGCUAAUACCGGAUAAGCCCUUCGGGGGAAAGAUUUAUCGCCAAAGGAUAGGCCCGCGUCUGAUUAGCUAGUUGGUGAGGUAAUGGCUCACCAAGGCGACGAUCAGUAGCUGGUCUGAGAGGAUGAUCAGCCACACUGGGACUGAGACACGGCCCAGACUCCUACGGGAGGCAGCAGUGGGGAAUAUUGGACAAUGGGCGCAAGCCUGAUCCAGCCAUGCCGCGUGAGUGAUGAAGGCCUUAGGGUUGUAAAGCUCUUUUGUCCGGGAAGAUAAUGACUGUACCGGAAGAAUAAGCCCCGGCUAACUUCGUGCCAGCCGCCGCCGUAA
Molecule: ribosomal RNA, 447 nt
Filed under: uncultured bacterium
Lineage: Bacteria
Description: partial 16S ribosomal RNA
Rfam family: Bacterial small subunit ribosomal RNA
Source: RNAcentral